This 278-nucleotide long non-coding RNA is filed under the name Lathyrus oleraceus (garden pea). RNAcentral's name for it is "Pisum sativum (pea) long non-coding RNA (PSAT_LNC032866)". The record is from RNAcentral. Lineage: Eukaryota; Viridiplantae; Streptophyta; Magnoliopsida; Fabales; Fabaceae.
UAAGUUUGGGGUGGAAAUCUUGAAAGAGAAGGCAAGUGCAUAAUAAGAGAUCAUACAAAAAGAAAAAUAGUAUGUAUUUUCUUUAAAAAAAAGAAAAAAAGAAAGAAAAAAAAAGAGAAAAGAAAAACAAAAGAGAAAAAUGCACUUGCCGAGAUUUAAGACUCUAACACAUAUAAAAUGCUCAAAAAAUUUGAGUAGAAAAAGAGUCAAAAGAGUGAAAUUAACCCCCAGAGUAUACGUGAUGCACGAGAAAAAGAGAAAGAAAAAUCACACAACAU